CCAAUAGCGUAUAUUAAAGUUGUUGCAGUUAAAAAGCUCGUAGUUGAAUUUCGGGAUCAGUAGGUUGGUCAUGCCUCUGGUAUGUACUGGUCUCACUGGUUCCUCCUUCCUGAUGAACCGUAAUGCCAUUAAUUUGGUGUUGCGGGGAGACUGGACUGUUACUUUGAAAAAAUUAGAGUGUUUAAAGCAGGCUAACGCUUGAAUACAUUAGCAUGGAAUAAUGAAAUAGGACGUUCGAUCCUAUUUUGUUGGUUUCUAGGAUUGACGUAAUGAUUAAUAGGGAUAGUUGGGGGCAUUAGUAUUCAAUUGUCAGAGGUGAAAUUCUUGGAUUUAUUGAAGACUAACUACUGCGAAAGCAUUUGCCAAGGAUGUUUUCAUUAAUCAAGAACGAAAGUUAGGGGAUCGAAGACGAUCAGAUACCGUCGUAGUCUUAACCAUAAACUAUGCCGACUAGGGAUCGGAUGAUGUUAAUUUUAUAAUGACUCAUUCGGCGCCUUACG
This 500-nucleotide ribosomal RNA is filed under the name uncultured Glomeromycotina. RNAcentral's name for it is "partial small subunit ribosomal RNA". It matches the Rfam family "Eukaryotic small subunit ribosomal RNA", at positions 591 to 1092 of the family's 1831-position model. The record is from RNAcentral. Lineage: Eukaryota; Fungi; Glomeromycota.